RNAcentral lists this non-coding RNA (106 nucleotides) under Youngiibacter fragilis 232.1. Its description in RNAcentral is "Clostridium sp. 232.1 TPP riboswitch aptamer (THI element)". It matches the Rfam family "TPP riboswitch aptamer (THI element)". From Rfam's summary of the family: Vitamin B(1) in its active form thiamin pyrophosphate (TPP) is an essential coenzyme that is synthesised by coupling of pyrimidine and thiazole moieties in bacteria. The record is from Rfam by way of RNAcentral. Lineage: Bacteria; Bacillati; Bacillota; Clostridia; Eubacteriales; Clostridiaceae. RNAcentral also lists the same sequence under 1 other name.
AUGGAAUAUGUGGGGAGCUUGUGUGCAGGCUGAGAGGGAGUUUAUAGCUCCGACCCUGGAACCUGAUUUGGAUAAUGCCAACGUAGGGAAAGCUUUCACACGGUAU